RNAcentral lists this unclassified non-coding RNA (203 nucleotides) under Hevea brasiliensis (rubber tree). The record is from RNAcentral. Lineage: Eukaryota; Viridiplantae; Streptophyta; Magnoliopsida; Malpighiales; Euphorbiaceae.
ACACCUCAAAUAGUCAAAUAAUUGCAACCUCUGGGUUUGCAACAUUGCUCUAAAAUCAAGUAUUAGGUGAUCCCCACUCUAAUGCUCAUAUUUGAUAGAGGGCUAUAUAAGAAAGGUUAGCAAAUAUCAUAACAGAUCUUAUUAGCUUCACAGCUACCAUAUUCUAUUCACUACAAACAAAAAGGGGAAAGGCUGCAAGUAAG